Molecule: non-coding RNA, 336 nt
Organism: Carassius gibelio (silver crucian carp)
Lineage: Eukaryota; Metazoa; Chordata; Actinopteri; Cypriniformes; Cyprinidae
Source: the annotation of a RefSeq genome assembly
AUGUAUAAUUUAUACACUGCGUCUCGUCCCGCUCUGACGGUGCUGCCUCCCUCCAGAGACGAGCUGCAGCAGGGGAAGGCUACAGUGCUGUGUGUGGCCAGUAAGGGAUUCCCCUCUGACUGGAAGCUGAGCUGGAAGGUGGACGGCAGCAGCAGGAGCUCUGGUGUCAAUCUGAGUCCCAGUCAGCUGCAGAAGGAUGGACUGUACAGCUGGAGCAGCAGCCUGAGCCUCACUGAGAGUGAGUGGAGCAGUGCAACAACCGUCAGCUGUGACGCCACGCACCCGUCCCACAGUGCAGUCACCAAGAGCUUCGACACACAGCAGUGUAAUGAAUGA